RNAcentral lists this ribosomal RNA (429 nucleotides) under Bacteroidota bacterium. Its description in RNAcentral is "Bacteroidetes bacterium partial 16S ribosomal RNA". It matches the Rfam family "Bacterial small subunit ribosomal RNA", at positions 355 to 776 of the family's 1533-position model. Lineage: Bacteria; Pseudomonadati; Bacteroidota. The record is from RNAcentral.
UAGGGAAUCUUCCGCAAUGGACGCAAGUCUGACGGAGCAACGCCGCGUGAGUGAAGAAGGAUUUCGGUUCGUAAAACUCUGUUGUUAGAGAAGAACAGCGCAUAGAGUAACUGUUAUGCGUGUGACGGUAUCUAACCAGAAAGCCACGGCUAACUACGUGCCAGCAGCCGCGGUAAUACGUAGGUGGCAAGCGUUGUCCGGAUUUAUUGGGCGUAAAGCGAGCGCAGGCGGUCAAUUAAGUCUGAUGUGAAAGCCCCCGGCUCAACCGGGGAGGGUCAUUGGAAACUGGUUGACUUGAGUGCAGAAGAGGAGGGUGGAAUUCCAUGUGUGACGGUGAAAUGCAUAGAUAUAUGGAGGAACACCAGUGGCGAAGGCGACUCUCUGGUCUGUAACUGACGCGGAGGCUCGAAAGCGUGGGUAGCAAACAGG